Molecule: ribosomal RNA, 483 nt
Filed under: uncultured Archaeospora
Lineage: Eukaryota; Fungi; Glomeromycota; Glomeromycetes; Archaeosporales; Archaeosporaceae
Description: eukaryotic LSU rRNA
Source: RNAcentral
ACAACGCNCUAAUCGGUGCCAUUCAAACUCCGUUAUUGUCCAGACACUACGGGAAUCUACAAGACCCGGCGUGCGCGCGAUGUGACUACUUCAGUUGCUCAAUAAUAUGGAACCGGCCUUCCAGACCCAUUAGAAAACUUUGAAGUAGCACGACCCCUAUCUCGUAACGUUAAUAACGAGAAUUUGCUCCUUAGGGAUCAUUCGCACUCAGUAGUCGAGCGCAACUAAUGCAGGGACGGGAAACAUGUGUGGCGGGCAGCGAUGAUGGCUAACUUACCGAAUCACUCUGGGAGCCUAACCAUAAGCCACCAACCNUUGUUAGNGACAAGAGNCUUUUCAACCAGUUUGAACCAGUNAAUNUCCUUCAUUUUCAGCAUUGUUCCAAAGGCAUCCNCUUGGACGCCUUCCUAGUAAUUGNUUGUUUUCCAAGCGAUAUGAUCAAAUGAUCAUACUUAGAAAACCCUAGUUGGUUUUGGACAUACU